RNAcentral lists this ribosomal RNA (440 nucleotides) under uncultured bacterium. RNAcentral describes it as "partial 16S ribosomal RNA". It matches the Rfam family "Bacterial small subunit ribosomal RNA", at positions 338 to 795 of the family's 1533-position model. The record is from RNAcentral.
CCUACGGGUGGCAGCAGUGGGGCAUAUUGCACAAUGGGGGAAACCCUGAUGCAGCGACGCCGCGUGAAGGAAGAAGUAUUUCUGUAUGUAAACUUCUAUCAGCAGGGAAGAAAAUGACGGUACCUGACUAAGAAGCACCGGCUAACUACGUGCCAGCAGCCGCUGUAAUACGUAGGGGGCAAGCGUUAUCCGGAUUUAAUGGGUGUUAAGGGAGCGUAGGCGGUGCAGCAAGUCAGAAGUGAAAGCACGGGGGUCAACUCCGGGACUGCUGUUGAAACUGUUGAACUAGAUUGCAGGAGAGGUAAGUGGAAUUCCUAGUGUAGCGGUGAAAUGCGUAGAUAUUAGGAGGAACACCAGUGGCGAAGGCGGCUUACUGGACUGUAAAUGACGCUGAGGCUCGAAAGCGUGGGGAGCAAACAGGAUUAGAUACCCGGGUAGUC